RNAcentral lists this transfer RNA (76 nucleotides) under Variovorax paradoxus. RNAcentral describes it as "tRNA-Trp". It matches the Rfam family "tRNA". Rfam says of the family: Transfer RNA (tRNA) molecules are approximately 80 nucleotides in length. The record is from RNAcentral. Lineage: Bacteria; Pseudomonadati; Pseudomonadota; Betaproteobacteria; Burkholderiales; Comamonadaceae. RNAcentral also lists the same sequence under 2 other names.
GAGUGCCUAGUUCAACUGGCAGAACACCGGUCUCCAAAACCGGCGGUUGAAGGUUCGACUCCUUCGGUGCUCGCCA